RNAcentral lists this ribosomal RNA (253 nucleotides) under uncultured bacterium. RNAcentral's name for it is "partial 16S ribosomal RNA". It matches the Rfam family "Bacterial small subunit ribosomal RNA", at positions 524 to 776 of the family's 1533-position model. The record is from RNAcentral.
GACGAAGGGGGCUAGCGUUGUUCGGAAUUACUGGGCGUAAAGCGCGUGUAGGCGGUUGCCAAAGUCGGGUGUGAAAGCCUUGAGCUCAACUCAAGAAUUGCACUCGAUACUUGGUGACUAGAGGACCGGAGAGGAUAGUGGAAUUCCCAGUGUAGUGGUGAAAUACGUAGAGAUUGGGAAGAACACCAGUGGCGAAGGCGGCUAGCUGGAUAGGCACUGACACUCAACUACGAAAGCGUGGGGAGCAAACAGG